This 39-nucleotide ribosomal RNA is filed under the name Anisakis simplex (herring worm). RNAcentral's name for it is "partial small subunit ribosomal RNA". Lineage: Eukaryota; Metazoa; Nematoda; Chromadorea; Rhabditida; Anisakidae. The record is from RNAcentral.
GUAAGUAGAGGUAGGGGAACCUGUCUCUAGUAAUUUUUU